UUCUUACUCCCUCCGAUCCAUAUUAAUUGUCGAAAUAUUACAUGUAUCUGGAUGCUUUUUAGUCAUAUAUGCAUCCAUAUUUGGGCAAUUUUGAGACAAAUAAUAUGGAUCGGAGAGAGUAUUUC
Brachypodium distachyon (stiff brome) is the source of this 125-nucleotide non-coding RNA. The record is from Rfam. NCBI's taxonomy places the organism in Eukaryota, Viridiplantae, Streptophyta, Magnoliopsida, Poales, Poaceae.